Molecule: non-coding RNA, 69 nt
Organism: Phrynosoma platyrhinos (Desert horned lizard)
Lineage: Eukaryota; Metazoa; Chordata; Lepidosauria; Squamata; Phrynosomatidae
Source: the annotation of a GenBank genome assembly
GCCAGUGUGGCAUAGUGGUUUGUGUGGACUACGACUCUGGAAACCAGGGUUCGAUUCCCAGCUCAGCCA